UGGGGAAUAUUGGACAAUGGGGGAAACCCUGAUCCAGCGACGCCGCGUGUGUGAAGAAGGCCUGCGGGUUGUAAAGCACUUUCGGUGGGAACGAAAUAUGCCGGGCUAAUACCCCGGUAGGCUGACGUUACUCAAUGAAGAAGCACCGGCUAACUCUGUGCCAGCAGCCGCGGUAAUACAGAGGGUGCGAGCGUUAAUCGGAAUUACUGGGCGUAAAGCGCACGUAGGUGGCGACGUAAGUCGGGUGUGAAAGCCCCGGGCUCAACCUGGGAACCGCAUCCGAAACUGCCAAACUUGAGGUCGGUAGAGGAGAGUGGAAUUCCCGGUGUAGAGGUGAAAUUCGUAGAGAUCGGGAGGAACACCAGUGGCGAAAGCGGCUCUCUGGGCCGAAUCUGACGCUAAGGUGUGAGAGCGUGGGGAGCAAACAGGAUUAGAUACCCGAGUAGUCCCUGAGCGGGCUGGCAAGGCGCAU
This 472-nucleotide ribosomal RNA is filed under the name uncultured bacterium. Its description in RNAcentral is "bacterial SSU rRNA". It matches the Rfam family "Bacterial small subunit ribosomal RNA", at positions 355 to 825 of the family's 1533-position model. The record is from RNAcentral.